This 402-nucleotide unclassified non-coding RNA is filed under the name soil metagenome. Its description in RNAcentral is "partial contains 5.8S ribosomal RNA, internal transcribed spacer 2, and large subunit ribosomal RNA". The stretch from base 1 to 121 matches the Rfam family "5.8S ribosomal RNA", at positions 35 to 154 of the family's 154-position model. The record is from RNAcentral.
GAUGAAGAACGCAGCGAAAUGCGAUAAGUAAUGUGAAUUGUAGAAUUCAGUGAAUCAUCGAAUCUUUGAACGCACCUUGCGCCCUUUGGCUAUUCUGAAGGGCAUGCCUGUUUGAGUAUCGUGAACACCUCAACUCUCAUGGUCUGCCAUGAUGAGCUUGGACUUUGGGGGUCUUGCUGGCCUACUGUCAGCUCCUCUCAAAUGAAUCAGCUUACCAGUGUUUGGUGGCACCACAGGUGUGAUAACUAUCUACGCUUGUGGUUUUCUGCCAGGUAACCUCCAGUGAUGGAGGUUCGCUGGAGCUCACAAAUGUCUCUCCUCAGCGAGGACAGCUUUUUGAACGUUUGAUCUCAAAUCAGGUAGGACUACCCGCUGAACUUAAGCAUAUCAAUAAGCGGAGGA